RNAcentral lists this ribosomal RNA (166 nucleotides) under uncultured bacterium. RNAcentral describes it as "partial 16S ribosomal RNA". It matches the Rfam family "Bacterial small subunit ribosomal RNA", at positions 1334 to 1500 of the family's 1533-position model. The record is from RNAcentral.
GCUAGUAAUGGCAGGUCAGCAUACUGCCGUGAAUACGUUCCCGGGCCUUGUACACACCGCCCGUCACACCAUGAGAGUUGGGAAUACCCGAAGCCUGUGAGCUAACUAUAUGAGGCAGCAGUCGAAGGUAGAAUCAAUGAUUGGGGUGAAGUCGUAACAAGGUACC